CAGAACCUUGCCCAGGAGCUAAAUAAAUUGGCUUCUCAUUUUCUCAUACUUGCCUCAGUUUCCUCAUUUUACAUUGGCAAUAAACCUUACAUUUUGGUGCCGAAACCCGGGAGGAGUUGUAAGACCCCUCCUGGGGGGGGAACUGACUCCUCCACCCGAGGCCGGACCAGGAGCCACUCUGCCAUGAGGGGCAAGCCAGUCCAAAGGAUGCAGUCCCUUCGUUUAAACUCCUCAGCCUCCUGGACAACUAAUGUGGCCCAGACUCAGAGACCCCUCUCACCCUUGCCAAGCCCAAGGUAGCGGGUAAGUCCAUUUACUUCUUGGCAAAUACAGGAGCUACCUGUUCUGUAUUGCCUUCCUACUCAGGAACUAGCAUACCUUCCCAGGUGUCACUUAUGGGAAUUAAUGAAAAGCCCUCCUGACCCAACCAGACUCCUUCCUUAGCCUGUAACCUCGAGGGGCACCAUUCUCUCACUCCUUCACCCCUCUCCCAUCCAGGGGUUGUAAAACAAGCUUUUAAAACCCCACAUAUCGUCCUGUAGCCUAUUUGUCCAGUUUAACCCCAAAGUCAAGGGGUGGCAGCCUUGCCUGCAACCCCUAAAAAUUACCUUCAGCCAGUCGAUUUCAGUGUUCUCACCUCAUCAACUAACUAACCUUCUCUCACACAAAUCUCUCACUCACCUAGGGCCCUCUCAUCUACAAAAGUUUCAUCUACUCUUUAUUAAAAAUCCUUCAGUUAGCCUCCAUCCUACUUCUCCACUCAACCCGGCUACUCUGCUUCCUCUUCUGCUCCACUGUCCCUCCCCAGCCCAUUCCUGUCCUAAACUCAUAAAUACACUUACUAAACCUCGGGAGAGCUUAACUAAUCUUCCUCCCAAUAAUGGUCGGCCUCUCCCUAGCUUCCUCUCUACCAGCUGUAGGAGUGGGGAGUGGUGCUCUAAGUUACAGCAUCACUUCAGCCCCUCAACUAGACAACAAACUCUGGGUAGCCAUUAAAGCAUCAGCCACCCCUCUAGUAACCCUCCAACAACAAGUCACAUCACUGGCUCAAGUAACUCUCCAAAAUCAGCGGGCCCUAAACCUGUUAACAGAAAAAAAAAA
This is a long non-coding RNA of Sapajus apella (tufted capuchin), 1101 nucleotides long. RefSeq lists it as uncharacterized. The transcript is spliced from 2 exons. Lineage: Eukaryota; Metazoa; Chordata; Mammalia; Primates; Cebidae. The record is from RefSeq and is a predicted model, not a curated record.